RNAcentral lists this non-coding RNA (241 nucleotides) under Acinetobacter sp. CIP 102637. RNAcentral describes it as "Bacterial small subunit ribosomal RNA". It matches the Rfam family "Bacterial small subunit ribosomal RNA", at positions 629 to 869 of the family's 1533-position model. The record is from Rfam by way of RNAcentral. Lineage: Bacteria; Pseudomonadati; Pseudomonadota; Gammaproteobacteria; Moraxellales; Moraxellaceae.
NNNNNNNNNNAGCUAGAGUAUGGGAGAGGAUGGUAGAAUUCCAGGUGUAGCGGUGAAAUGCGUAGAGAUCUGGAGGAAUACCGAUGGCGAAGGCAGCCAUCUGGCCUAAUACUGACGCUGAGGUACGAAAGCAUGGGGAGCAAACAGGAUUAGAUACCCUGGUAGUCCAUGCCGUAAACGAUGUCUACUAGCCGUUGGGGCCUUUGAGGCUUUAGUGGCGCAGCUAACGCGAUAAGUAGAC